Callithrix jacchus (white-tufted-ear marmoset) is the source of this 1202-nucleotide non-coding RNA. The record is from RefSeq and is a predicted model, not a curated record. NCBI's taxonomy places the organism in Eukaryota, Metazoa, Chordata, Mammalia, Primates, Cebidae.
ACUCGUCCAGUGUGAUGGGAUUGCUGCAGUCGGGCUGCAUCUGCUGCUCACACUCCUCCACCGUCUCCAAGACCUUGCUGAGGUUGGAGAUGACACGCUCCUCAUGGUCCAGGACCUCGGUCAUCUUCUCCAGCUCAUGGAAGAGGUUGACCACCAUGUCCUGCUCAUACUGUAGCUGCCGGGCAUUCUGGAUGAUCUCCUGCUAGGUGAGGUCGAUGAGCAGCUGCAGGUCGUGCUCCAGCUCGGGCAACGCAAAGCCCUGGGCUUUGGCCUCCUUGCCAGACUGUGGCAGCUGUUGGGACUGCAGCCCAUCAUUGGGAACGUUGUGCUUGUGGCUGAUCUGACUGUAGCUGUAAUAGACCUUCUGCUCCUGCCUGUCAUGUGUAUAACCUUGACUUGAGAAAGCUCCUUCUGGGGAGCAGUGAGCUUCUUGCUAAUCCUGCCCUUGGUCUUCAACUUUUCCACAGUCUUGUAAGAGUAUUUGGGCUUCUUCUUGCUUCCACUUGGGUCAUGCAUGCCCUGCUCUGCCAUGACCCCCUGCAGAAACCUCUACUUUGGAGCUCCUUCUUGCAGAAGUCUCUGCAUAAAAGGAAAGGAGGCCAGGUGAGGUUCUCCAACGACCAGACCAUCAAGCUGGAGAAGUUCGAGAUGCAGAAAUACCUCUCUCUGCCCGAGAGAAAGCAUCUGGCCAAGAUGCUGCAGCUUAGCAAGAGACAGGUCAAAACCUGGUUUAAGAAUCGACAUGCUAAAUGGAGGAGACUAAAACAGGAGAACCCUCAAAGCAAUAAAAAAUGAAGAACUGGAAAGUUUGGACAAUUCCUGUGACCAGAGGCAAGAUUUGCCCAGUGAACAGAAUAAAUGUGCUUCUUUAGAUAGCUCUCAGUGUUCGCCCUCCCCUGCCUCUUAGGAAGACCUUGAUUCAGAGAUUUCAGAGGAUUCGGAUCAGGAAGUGGACAUUGAGGGUGAUAAAGGAUAUUUUAAUGAUAGAUGAUGACCACUGGCAUUGGCAUGUUCAGAAAACUCGAUUUAGGAAUAAUAUUUGGAUACAGAAAAUCUUCAUAGAAGAACUUGAAGGUUAUAUAAGAAAAGGAAUCAAUUUUCUCGUGUCCUGGAAACCUAAAAUAAUUGGUGCACUGCUCAGUUAACAAACCUACCUUAAUUUUGACUUAACAAAUAUUUUAUGUACUGAACUUAGGUUGUUU